UACAGAGGGGGCAAGCGUUAUUCGGAAUUAUUGGGCGUAAAGGGCGCGUAGGCGGCCUGACAAGUCGAAGGUGAAAUCCCUCGGCUCAACUGAGGAACUGCCCUCCAAACUGUUUGGCUUGAGUCCGGGAGAGGUGAGUGGAAUUCCCAGUGUAGCGGUGAAAUGCGUAGAUAUUAGGAGGAACACCAGUGGCGAAGGCGGCUCACUGGACCGGUACUGACGCUGAUGCGCGAAAGCGUGGGGAGCAAACAGG
This 253-nucleotide ribosomal RNA is filed under the name uncultured bacterium. RNAcentral describes it as "partial 16S ribosomal RNA". It matches the Rfam family "Bacterial small subunit ribosomal RNA", at positions 524 to 776 of the family's 1533-position model. The record is from RNAcentral.